AUGGCAGACCUGGUUGUUGGGUUGGCCAAGUCAGUGGUGGAGGGGGCGUUGACCAAGGCCCAGGUGGCCAUCGAAGAAGAGGCCAAGCUUCGGCAGAGCGCGCAGCGCAACCUGGUGUUCAUCACCGGCGAGUUCGAAAUGAUGCACUCGUUCCUCAAGGUGGCCGACGAGGAGCGCCUAGAGAACAAGGUGGUGAUAACGUGGGUGAGGCAGAUCCGCGAGCUGGCGUACGAUGUGGAAGACUGCAUCGAGCUCGUCAUCCACCUCGACAUGAAGAACAGGUGGUGGUGGCGCGUCGUCCCGUCCUGGUGCAUGGCGCUGCCGUUGCCGCUGGACGAGGCGGCCGGCGAGAUCGAGCAGCUCAAGGCGAGGGUGGAGGAUGUGAGCACUAGGAACACACGCUACAGCCUCAUCAGCGACACGGGAUCCAAGCCCGUCAUCCUGCAGCAGGAGCCGAUGGCAUCAAGCGCCGCCAUCGUCGCUGCAACCACGGCUGACAUGCUCGCCGAGGCAAGAGGUGCCACCAAGAGGCAGCAAGGAUUCAGCGACCUCACCCGGCUCAUCUCCAAGAAGAAGCAGGACCACGACAAUGGCCUUCAAGUCAUCUCGGUUUGGGGUGCAGCUGGCGACCACGGGACGACAUCCAUCAUCAGGAAGACCUACAACCACACAGAGAUAUGCCAAGAAUUCCCCUUCCGCUCCUGGGUGAAAAUCAUGCAUCCUUUCAAUCCGCACCAAUUCAUGCGCAACAUGAUGGCUCAGUUCCAUGCAACCUCUUGCAUGGAGCAAAGAGGAACCAUAGGCAGGGAUGUCUUUGAGAAGAUGGAGGCCACUCAACAAGAUCUCUUAAGUGAGUUUGAGCAGCUAUUCAACGAGAAGAGGUACCUCAUCGUCUUGGAAGGCCUGUCACACAUGGUAGAUUGGGAUGCUAUCCGGGCAUUCCUUCCUGACACCAUGAAUGGCAGCUGGAUCAUCGUGUCGACGCAGCAAUCCGAGAUAGCAACCUUGUGCAUCGGACACUCAUACCAGGUGGUGGAGCUUCGAAAGUUCUCGGAUGAGCACUCCAUUUGUGCCCUCUACAAGGCCUCUCAAGGCGAUGGGGCUAAAGACAAGAACCCAAUGGGUUCUGAUGGCGGUGAAGAUAAAGGCAAAGAACCAAUGGCUUCUCUCGAGAAAAUAAUUAGAGAGAAGAAAAUAAUGUCACUUAGAGAGGAAGCAGAUGAAUGGAAGCAGAAGAAUGAUGCCCUUGUUGGACGUGAGGCACGAAUGACUGAACUUGUUAAAUGUCUAGCUCAGGCACGUGUCAAUUCUCUCCCAGUGAUGUCCGUGUGGGGUAUAGCUCAAGUUGGGAAAUCAGCACUUGUCAAAAACUUGUUCUAUGACACAGUACUUCAGCUUCAGGGUGGAAACUAUGAGGAUUAUUAUUGGGUGGAUGUAUCCCAUCCAUUUAAUAUUAGAGACUUGUAUCUUAACUUGCUUUCAGAUUUUCAUUCGGAGAAAGAUCCAACUGAAGAGUGUCACCGUCUUCUGAAAAAAGGUUGGUGCCUCAUAGUUAUCGACGAUCUCCGGUCCACAAAGGACUGGGACAUGAUACAAGCUGCCUUGGUAUCCAAACAUUUAAAGAGUGUUGUCAUUGUUAUAACAACCGAUCCAACCAUUGCUGAAUAUUGCACAAAUAAAGAAGAACUUGUGUUUAAUGUCAAGGCUCUAGAAGCUGAUGCGGCCUUUGAUCUCUUCAAAAAGCAGGUACUUAAGAAGAGUUCAACAUACCCUUUGAAGGAUCAGGAGGCGGAUGUAAAAGACCUUAUUUCAAAGUGUGGCGGUCUUCCCAAAGUAAUAUCUGCUAUAGCUGGAUUACUGGCCACGAAGACAAACAGAAGGAUGGAAAUUAUUAAUUCUUUGAAUCAAAAAUUUAUGCACCGUCUGGAGACCAACCUGGAGUAUGAUAAUCUGCAAGAUUUAUUUGGCUGGAUGCACUCUUACUUCCGUACUUGUCCUGAUGCACUCAAGCCAUGUAUCUUCUACCUGUCGAUUUUUCCUCAAGAUCAAACCAUCCGGCGAAGACGACUGGUAAGGCGGUGGAUUGCAGAGGGUUACUCCAGGGACAGUGACAAUGAAUCUGCGGAGGAGAAUGGGGAGAAACACUUCUCUAAGCUCCUUGAAUUGAGCAUAAUCCAGCAGAUAUCAUCCGUCGACAGCUGUGCAUUCAGUGUGGACGAAGUUAGGAUGGUUAUGUGCCAGGUGAAUGGUUUCAUUCGAGAGUACGUCGUGUCACGGCGAAUGGAAGAGAAUCUUGUGUUCGAAUUGAGUGGAAAAUGUGCACUAACAACCCAACGCAACGGGCGUCACCUUGUCAUAUUGGAAAAGUGGAAAAGAGAUGAAAUUGUGUUUGCAAGCAUGGACUUCUCUCGGCUACGGUCACUAACAGUGUUUGGAGUGUGGGAGUCAUUCUUCAUCUCUGAAAGUAUGAAGAUGCUUCGUGUGCUUGAUCUAGAGAAUGCAGAGGCUUUAAAUGAUGGUGAUCUUGACAAGAUAUUUGAGUGGUUGCGUCGGCUCAAGUUCCUCUCAUUGCGAGGGCACACUGAGAUCAACCAUCUACCAGGUUCAUUACAUCAUCUGAGGCAGCUCCAGACACUCGAUGUGAGGGGCACCUCAAUAACCACCCUGCCAAAGAAGAUCACCAAGUUACACAAACUGCAGUAUAUUCGUGCCGGCAACCGCACCAUGGGCAUUGAACGAGCCGUUUCAUCCAGCAGCUGCAGCUGGUUGCCUGAGUUCUGCAGAUGUCAUCAUCCUACAAUCAGUGUUGAGGUGCCUACAAAGAUUGGGGAACUGACUGCGUUGCACACCCUUGGUGUUGUCAACAUCACUGCUUCAGGUGCAAAGAAUACUGUGAAAGAGCUCAAGAAGCUCACCCAGUUGCGCAAGCUCGGGGUGUUUGGCAUCAACGGGAAGAACAGCAGCAAUUUUUUCUCUGCAAUCGAAGAUCAUGCCCAUCUGGAGUCCUUGUCAGUUUCACUCAACAAGGACACCACGCGAGAUUGUUGCUUCAUCAGUAAGGACAACAACAGUCAAAGAUGCUUGGAUGACAUGAUCUCCCUGCCUUGUACAAACCUUCGGAGCCUUAAACUGUAUGGGCUUGAAGAUAAGUUGCCGAAAUGGGAGGGGGAGCAGCCUGUAAAGUUUGGAAAGCUCACAAAGCUGGAGCUGGAGAUGGCGUCUUUCCCAGAAGAUGUCAUAAGGUUUGUUGGCGGGCUUCCAGAACUAUGUAUUCUUCGUGUUAAGCAGCAUCAAGAUCGUCCCCUCAACUUCUGUGUCAUGGUGAAUGGAUUCGAGGAUGACUCCUACAAAAAGGUCAAGAUUCUCGAGAUUUCCUGCUCCAACAGUUUACCUGUGAGUGUGACUUUUGGAUCAUGGACAAUGAAAAAACUUGAGCUGCUCAAGGUUGACUGCUACGGUGGGUCACCGCCUUAUGAGUUCAGUGGCCUGGGAAACCUAGAAGAACUCAAGGAAGUCGUGCUAGUUAACGGCUCCAGCGCCCAAGCACUGAAGCAAGAACUCGAUCACCAGCUUGCCGAGGAGCACCCGAAAGAAAAGAAGCCUGUCGUGAAGCUGGAGCAACCACCACCUUCGUCCUGA
Molecule: ribosomal RNA, 3639 nt
Filed under: Triticum aestivum (bread wheat)
Lineage: Eukaryota; Viridiplantae; Streptophyta; Magnoliopsida; Poales; Poaceae
Description: partial small subunit ribosomal RNA
Source: RNAcentral